Protobothrops mucrosquamatus (brown spotted pit viper) is the source of this 1013-nucleotide long non-coding RNA. RefSeq lists it as uncharacterized. Lineage: Eukaryota; Metazoa; Chordata; Lepidosauria; Squamata; Viperidae. The record is from RefSeq and is a predicted model, not a curated record. The transcript has 3 exons.
GCUUCAGAGAAUUCUGCAGCUGUUAUGGUGACUUGGCAAAAUCCUCCUGCCCGAAGACUGAUGGCUGGAAAGAAGCAAGGCCAGAAUAGUGAAAGCAACGCAGAAAGGACAAACAAAGCUGCUUUAUACCAGCUAAUGUUUGGAACCUUCACCACCCAUUUUCACCUGAAUAUUCAACCAGAGCUCUUCCAAGUGACUCCCUGUGGUUUCCAAAACCCACUGCAUGGAAGGGAUGGAGAAGUUAAUGUUUCUGCCAGUCCUGAAUUCUGGACACAUUGAGAAAAAAAAUGUCCUUUGCAGAUGCCUGGAAACCUCUGGACUUCAUUUCUUCAUAUCCUCUUCAACAGAACCUGAACAGUAGAACCAAAUUUCAGGAUUGAAGUUGCCUCUACUUCAGAAGAAGUUCCACCCAUAACUGAACAGACCAGAUUUUUGAAUGGGUUCACUUAAGAGAAAAAGCCUUUACUUUAAGGCCAAGACUUGGGAGCCCUAACCAGCACUCUGGAAAAAUCCCCCUCUGCCUCCUCCAAACCUCACUAGAUAUGGGUGACAUGACAGAAAGAAGCUUGUGGGCUUUUGUUUUUAGGUUGCUGCUGAAUCUAGACUGAAAAUUAAGCCAGAGAGGGGAAACUGAUGUCAGGCAAGGAUGGGCAACCAGGGCACUGGAGCUGCAAUCCUGCAAAACAGAGAAAGGUGUAUAAUGCAAUUUCAACAAACCUGCCUGGCAUCCCUGUCACAGCUACCAGGAGCAGUCCCAGUCAGCAAAAGGCUGUAAAGUAUGAAAUUUUCCUGUAAACUGGCAGAAUACUGUGGGCAAUAUUUCUUUCAUCUUCUCUAGCACAAGGCAGGAAGAAGCUCUUUUAUAAAGUCUCCUGGGUCAAAGCUGGAGCUUCUUGAGUUAGUUGUCUACCAUUUCACUCCCAGAAUUCAUUUCACUGGUCACUUUCCUCCAUCUUCUUUUCUGAUGGAACUCAGUUUCCACCUUCUGCAUUCAUGGAAUGAAAGUGUUGGAA